RNAcentral lists this ribosomal RNA (253 nucleotides) under uncultured bacterium. RNAcentral describes it as "partial 16S ribosomal RNA". It matches the Rfam family "Bacterial small subunit ribosomal RNA", at positions 524 to 776 of the family's 1533-position model. The record is from RNAcentral.
UACGAAGGGGACUAGCGUUGUUCGGAAUCACUGGGCGUAAAGCGCACGUAGGCGGAUUCGUAAGUCAGGGGUGAAAUCCCGGGGCUCAACCUCGGAACUGCCUUUGAUACUGCGGGUCUUGAGUCCGAUAGAGGUGGGUGGAAUUCCUAGUGUAGAGGUGAAAUUCGUAGAUAUUAGGAAGAACACCAGUGGCGAAGGCGGCUCACUGGUCCGGUACUGACGCUGAGGUGCGAAAGCGUGGGGAGCAAACAGG